CUUCUUCGUCACCACCUCUACAAUAGGGACGUCCCAUACACCCUCCAACACACACACACACACACACUUCCCCGAACAGACAAAGAUGGGGCAGCAGUUAUUGCACGGUCAGGUAGCUAAACUUACAACAGAGAUUGAGAACAUCUUUUCCGCAGCCUAUGAAGGAGGAGGGUCGAAUUCUUGUUCCCUUUUCAUAUCUCCGGGACAGAUUAACUUGAGCCAACCUGUUCAUCAGAAAUGACAGAUCCUUUCCCUGUGGAUGUAUGUGGUUUACGUGCGGCGGCGCAUCGAAGCCCACACAGUAAUCAAAGUCACUGUUUGCCAGAGAAAUGUCACCCUCUUGACGUGCACAAAAUGCAUUCUCGUGACAUGGCUCGAGGUGAAAUGAUACGGAGGGGAGUAAAAGAGGAAAGGAGGAAGGACGACGGAGAAGAGAGGAGAAUGAGGUAUACACAGUACGUCUUAUGUAGGGUAAAUCCUUAUGCAAAGAUAGAACAUCUGGCCAACUAAACCCAGCGAUCCAUCAUCUCAGAUCUCAUCAUCUCAGAUCUCAUCAUCUCAGAUCUCAGAUCAUCUCAUCAUCUCAGAUGUCAGUGAGUCGGUGCCACUGGAAGUCCCUGCAAAGUCCUUGUGAGGACAGCGUCCUCUCAUCUCGUGGGUCUCUGCUGUAAUAGCUGCCAUGCCACCGUGUUGAGCCUGUAGAGGUCAAUCGGAAGGCGUUCUUAGAACGAGCGCAGCGUUCGUACAUAAACCACGAGCUGGCGGGGACAUAACGCUACUGCAAGGGUCCUCCAACACGUCCACCUAGCGAGUGGCUCGCCAGACAAUUCCGAAAGUACACGCAAACUGUCAUAAACUGACCCCUCCUGUCUCAGCCUCCAGUAUUUAUGCUGCAGUAGUUUGUGUCGGGGGGCUAGGGUCAGUUUGUUAUAUCUGGAGUACUUCUCCUGUCCUAUUCGGUGUCCUGUGUGAAUCUAAGUGUGCGUUCUCUAAUUCUCUCCUUCUCUCUUUCUUUCUCUCUCUCGGAGGACCUGAGCCCUAGGACCAUGCCCCAGGACUACCUGACAUGACUCCUUGCUGUCCCCAGUCCACCUGGCCGUGCUGCUGCUCCAGUUUCAACUGUUCUGCCUUAUUAUUAUUCGACCAUGCUGGUCAUUUAUGAACAUUUGAACAUCUUGGCCAUGUUCUGUUAUAAUCUCCACCCGGC
Molecule: long non-coding RNA, 1207 nt
Organism: Oncorhynchus tshawytscha (Chinook salmon)
Lineage: Eukaryota; Metazoa; Chordata; Actinopteri; Salmoniformes; Salmonidae
Source: Ensembl